AGUGAAUGCUGGCGGUAGGCCUAACACAUGCAAGUCGAACGGCAGCACAGUAAGAGCUUGCUCUUACGGGUGGCGAGUGGCGGACGGGUGAGGAAUACAUCGGAAUCUACUUUUUCGUGGGGGAUAACGUAGGGAAACUUACGCUAAUACCGCAUACGACCUACGGGUGAAAGCAGGGGAUCUUCGGACCUUGCGCGAUUGAAUGAGCCGAUGUCGGAUUAGCUAGUUGGCGGGGUAAAGGCCAACCAAGGCGACGAUCCGUAGCUGGUCUGAGAGGAUGAUCGGCCACACUGGAACUGAGCCACGGUCCAGGCUCCUGCGGGAGGCAGCAGUGGGGAAUAUUGGACAAUGGGCGCAAGCCUGGUCCAGCCAUACCGCGUGGGUGACGAAGGCCUUCGGGUUGUAAAGCCCUUUUGUUGGGAAAGAACAGCAGCAGGUUAAUACCCCGCUGUUCUGACGGUACCCAAAGAAUAAGCACCGGCUAACUUCGUG
RNAcentral lists this ribosomal RNA (492 nucleotides) under uncultured bacterium. Its description in RNAcentral is "partial 16S ribosomal RNA". It matches the Rfam family "Bacterial small subunit ribosomal RNA", at positions 29 to 507 of the family's 1533-position model. The record is from RNAcentral.